Molecule: non-coding RNA, 376 nt
Organism: Pelobates cultripes (western spadefoot toad)
Lineage: Eukaryota; Metazoa; Chordata; Amphibia; Anura; Pelobatidae
Source: the annotation of a GenBank genome assembly
GUCUGGGUCCCAGUCACCAGACUGCGAAACUGCGAAUGGCUCGUUAAAUCAGCUAUGGUUCCUUUUAUCGCUUCAACUGUUACUUGGAUAACUGUGGGAAUUCUAAAGAUAAUACAUGCCGACGUACACUAGGGGACGGCCUCUCUGCUCUUGCACCCUACUCAAAAUUGCACACGUCACUCGCAUGACCUUCAUUCCAUGUGGGGUGUUGGACCUCAUCAUCCUCCUGCACACUGCACACUGCAGAAAGCCACAGCAGUUGGCACCUGUGUUUGUACAGCAUGUAAAGUCUGCAAAGGACAAAUGGGAAUUGUUUUAGGAUUGUAUCCAGGCAACAUUUUUCCCUAUAAACUGACCUCUCAGUUUGACUUGUGAG